UACGGGGGGGGUAAGCGUUGUUCGGAAUUACUGGGCGUAAAGGGCUCGUAGGCGGCCAACUAAGUCAUACGUGAAAUCCCUCAGCUUAACUGGGGAACUGCGUGUGAUACUGGAUGGCUUGGAUUUGGGAGAGGGAUGCGGAAUUCCAGGUGUAGCGGUGAAAUGCGUAGAGAUCGGGAGGAACAUCCGUGGCGAAGGCGACUACCUGGACCAGCACUGACACUGAGGCACGAAAGCGUGGGGAGCAAACAGG
This 253-nucleotide ribosomal RNA is filed under the name uncultured bacterium. Its description in RNAcentral is "partial 16S ribosomal RNA". It matches the Rfam family "Bacterial small subunit ribosomal RNA", at positions 524 to 776 of the family's 1533-position model. The record is from RNAcentral.